GACUGUCCUCCUCCACUUUCAUUCAGCCCCAGGUAAGGAGGCAGCAGGACAGCAUGGUACCUUUGCUUUUAAUCCCUUCCAUCUGCAGCAAGUGUGCUCCCUGCUCCUUCUUAGGGAUGCAUUUGCAUUUUCAUUUCUGAAUUAGUAAAUACACCCCACGUGGAGGCUACAAUAACCGAGCUGAUGUCCCUAAGACAUGAUUCCCCAUGUCACAAGCCAUGUAGCCCAGCUACUGUAAAAUUAACUGCCCUGGUGGGAUGAGGAGGAGAAUCAGAAAAAAGGUAAAACUUGUGGGUUGAGAUAACAAUUUAAUAAUUGAAAUGUAACAGUAAUCGUGUUAGUAAUAGUAGUAGCAAUAUAAUGAUGAAAAGGAGAGAGAAAGAGAGAGGAAUAAAACCCAAGGGAAAAAUAACAAGUGAUGUACAAUAGUUGCUCCCCACCCGCUGAGCGAUGCCCACCCAGUCCCCCAGCAGCACUCAGUGCCUCCCAGCCAGCUCCCACCAGUUUACAUACUGAGCGUGACAUUCUGUGGCACAAAAUAUCCCUUUGGCUGGAUGGGCUCAGCUGUCCUGGCUCUGCUCCCUCCCACCUUCUUGUGCCCCUCCUCACUGGCAGAGCAUGGGAAACUUGGAAAGUCCUUGAUUCAGAGUAAGCACCACUUAGCAACAACUUCACAUCAGUGUGUUAUCAACAUUAUUCUCACACUAAAUCCAAAACAUAGCAUUGUAGCAGCUACUAAGAAGAAAUUUAACUCUAUCCCAGCUGAAAGCAGGACAAUGCCCCAAAUAUUUAACUGCUCAUGCCCUGUGCAAGUCACUGACAGUUUUGGAUGCAUGGCCACAGUUUGUGGAGAAGCUGUGACACCAGGACAGCAGGUCUUGUUUCCCAAAAUGACACACAGAGUGGGUCUGAGCGGCCACUUGCCGGGAAGCGAUGUAAGUUAAAGCAUCCUGCAUGAAGUGCUGAUUCUGCAUUUUCCUUCUGUCUCACCAAGGACAAGAACAGAAGAAGGAGAAGUUCAGGUUAAAGUGCAAUUUGCCAGCUUUGUCAAGAGGCCAGGAUUUAUUUAGGUGGAGCCUUUUUACCAACAGUGCUGAUGAGAUUAUGGUAAAUCAUGUGAUACAUGAAAUGCUCCCCUUGGCUUCCAACGGCUCCAAAGGAUAACUGUGGCUGCCCCUGCUUUGUUAUGGGGCUGCCUGCCUGACCCCUGGCUCGACUGUACACUCUUCCUCCCCCACACACACCCCUAAAAAAAAAGCAUUGCAAGAGGCUGAGGGAAUUGAGGUUUGUAAAAAGUUGUAGUUUAGCAGGUAUUUUCUAGAAGAGGAGAUACCUGACAUCCCAACAGCUAGCUAGACUAGGCUCAUGCAAAAUGCCAGCUAGCCUAGGAGUCUGCUGGGGACGGAGGGAAACUGGAAACUGAAAUGCAUGGUUGGUAUGGGAGAUAACACAUUAUGAAAAAGCUCAUCAGCAACAUUUAAAGUAUUUUAAUAGUCUGUCCUUUAUUCAGAGCUGGAGUGACACUGACUGUCUGAGCAGCCAGGCCCUGCAAGGGCUAUUCUUCUGUGGGAAAGCAGCCCACUCCCACUUGCAAUCCUGAUGCAUCACAGUGUGACUGCCCUUUGUCACCCUGAGAAAACAGCAUCACCAACAUCCACCUCAGCUCGUUCCCUUCACCUGGCAUUUAGGUCAGACAAAAAGCCCUGCAAAAAUCUCACCAGUGAAAUCCAAACACAAACUCCUGAAACUUGCAGCGAGAACAUCAUCACCCUCACCCUGCGCCAGCCAGGAGCACUGGGUAACUCCCACUGCAGAUGCCCUGGCUCCUGCCUGGAGCUCACCACGGGGACCGGCCGGGCUCUGCCAGUGACUGGUGGCCACAGGCCCUUUGUGUGUGGCUUCUCUGCGUCCAUGAAGUGGCCCUGUGGGGAGAUGGGCAGUCGGCUGCAGAGCACACCUCUCUUAGCCACAGCAAGACAACAAAGAGCAAAACAUCUCAAUAGCUAGGAAGAAAGGAAACGUACUAACAAAACCAAACCUGUAACGUCUUUUUCCACAUGGUAAGAAUAAAAAUGAUUUCCAAGCAGGCAAUGGAAAAACUUAGCUGAAAUUAACAUUCACCAAUUAAAUCUGUAUUAUGGUAAAUGCCAUUUCAAUAAAGAUUCAGGAGUAUAGAUUAAAAAACCUCCCUGACCACAUUUUUGCUUUCUCUACAAAAAGCAAAGCAUAAAUUACUCAGCCUACCAUUGUCUUUUACAGAGAAGUGGCAACCAGACACUAGUUGAUCCCAGUUUAUGCUGAUAUCACCCACGUGCAAACAUUCCCACCUGUUCCGUGUACCAUUUGAAACAACUCCAUCACGCAGCUUAAAACACUACCGCAGACGAGCAAAGCCACCUUCCCCAGCACACUGCCUCGUGCUCCUUGUCACAGCAACCCUGGCAUCUCCAGUGGCAAGGAGUGGGCUCAUUUCCAGCGAGCCCACUGUGAGCUGGGGGGGCUGCUUGGCAGAGGAGGGGGCCUGGGGGACUCUCUCCAAAGCUCUGGUCUCACCAGUUCUUUCAAGAGGCAGAGUAACAACCUCAGGGCUUCAACCGGGUUUUGUUUCAGACACAGAGAAGGGCUCCAGUGGCUGAAACUGGGGUUUUUUUCCAGAUGUCUGGGCUGAUUCAAUGGAAGAGCACCUCUCCCCCGAACCUUGCCUUCUUCUCACAACUGGGAGUGACUCAGCAGUGCCACCCUUCUUCCAGGCCACUUCACCUACAGGACAAUGCCUUCUGGGAAUCAAACUUCAUCUCAGGAGCUCAGGAAGUAAAGAACAACUAAGGUAAAAAUCAACAACCAAAUCAACCCUCUUGUAACUAGAGUAGUCCAACUUGUUUGUUUUGCUCCUUCAUUAAUACCCGAACUCAAAAAUUCACAGACUUGCACCUGCGCACAAGCAGAAGAGCUACCAGAAGCUGCAAGUGCAGGUCUUCUUGUCCCCAUCCUUGUCCCCAGGCAGUGCUGGGAAGCAGAAGAACCUCAGCUCUUGGGCCAGCUCCAGACGCUUUUAUGGAUAAGCUGACCUGUGCCUCCCUCCCAGCCUGGAUGUGCGCUCUGUGCCAUUUCUAUGGCCUCCCAGGAGUGUCACCCCAAGCUGACAGCUGCUGCCACCACAUUGCAGGGGACAGUGGACCUUACCUUCUCAUGCCCCUUGUGUCCAGCACACAUGAUGCCCUUGCUUUAACCUGAUGGCGCUGUGAGGAGCAGCACGUUAGCCCAACAGGAGCAGGAGCUGACUGAACAGCACACAUGAUGCACCACAAAGUUAAUCCAACAUUAACCAAGGUGUGGGCAAAAUGACCUCCAACACGCUUUGCAACAGAAUUUGACUUGCGAUAAGCGCUUUUUAAAUGUAUCAUGUUACUUAGCAGAAUGAGUUAUUCUUUUGAUUCCAAAGGGCCUUUACUACUGAAUAACAGAUGCUUUUUAAGAGAGAUGGGAGAAGGCAAUGUGUGUUCAACUGAGGGGGAUUGUAGAAGAAUGGCUGCAGAAGCAUGGCCUUAGAAUCUCUGAAGAUCUGCACAAUCCAGGCCUGGUAUUAGAAUAGGCCUGCAAUCACAAUUGUACUGAAGUUGCUGUGCUGAAGUUAACGAGAAAGGUGGCCUUGAGCUAUUCUUGAGUCCUGAGACCAAGUAAUUACGUUGUGCCAACAGGCCGUGGCUGUAACAAGAUACAGCUGCUGGGAAAGCAGGUGCAGGGCCAAGAAAGAUGGGGACCGGUAUGGGAAAAUAGGGAGUAACAAACUACAAGGCUGAAGCACAGCAACACAAUUAGCUACGUGGAUAGAAUGCUUAUUUUAGUCAUGAUAAUUAGGGGUGUGAGAACCGCGCGCGUUUAGAGACUACUAACCAGUUAUAUUUCUGCUUUACGAAUAUGCAUGUGUAUCGGUUCUAUGUAAGUAGUGUUAGAAACUGAUAAAGUUGAGCAAGGUGCAUAACUCAUAUUGAGCGUCUUCUUGACUCCGGCGAACCCUUCUUCCAACAGGGGAUGAUGUGCAAGAGGGGGAAGCCGCGUGGCUCUGCACCUGCUGCGGACACAUGACAAGUUGUAUUCGGAGGAGAGCUUUGCUCACCUUCAGUUCGAUGGCAGCCUUGUUUCUCCCCUCUGUGUGCACGUGAUGCCUCUUGCGGACGAUGGCAUUUCUUCCCUGUGAUUUCAUCAACCCGGCACCCAACAUGCUGAAGUUCUGAGGCCUGAGCAACAAGCCCUGAGCCAAAGCUGACCUCUAGAUGAACCCACCAACCAAAUGUUAUAUAGUUAUAUAUAUAUAUAUUUAGUAUCUGAUCAUUAGAAAAAUAUGCAUAAUGAUUAGUGAACUCUCUAUGAUCACUAGUGAAAGAUGUAGCUUAGAUAAAAUACAAUCAUCACUGAAGACACAGAGCAUCCUUCCUUGCUUAGAAGCAGGUAGUCAAGGCCAUGAAACCAGAUAUAUGGCCCAGUUUGCAAACUGGUGGUUAAAAUCAAGUAGAUACAGGGAACUCCAUUGGUUCCUCCCUGUCCUGGUUUCAGCUGGGAUGGAAUUAACUUUCUUCUUAGUGGCUAGUACAGUGCUGUGUUUUGGCUCUGAUGUGAGAACAAUGUUGAUAACGCACUGAUGUUUUUAGUUGUUGCUGGGUAAUGUUAUACACUAAGUCAAUAAUUUUUUGGUUUCUUGGGCCUUGCCAGCCAGAGGGCUGGAGGGGCACAAGAAGUUGGGAGGGGACACAGCCAGGACAGGUGACAUGAACUAGCCAAAGAGGUAUUCCAUACCAUGGGACAUCAUGCUAGGUAUAUAAACUUGGGGGGUUAGCUGGGGGGGAUCAUUGCCUGGGGACUGGCUGGCCGGGUGGUGAGCAGCUGUGCUGUGCAUCUCACUUGUUUUCCUUUCUCCCUUUUCCUUUGGAUUUUAUCCUUUCCCCCACCUUUCCAUUAUAAUUGUUAUUCUUCUUAUUAUUGUUGUUCUUACCUUUUUAUUCUGUUUAAAUUAUUAAAUUGUUCUUAUCUCAA
Falco peregrinus (peregrine falcon) is the source of this 5031-nucleotide long non-coding RNA. RefSeq lists it as uncharacterized. The transcript has 2 exons. The record is from RefSeq and is a predicted model, not a curated record. Lineage: Eukaryota; Metazoa; Chordata; Aves; Falconiformes; Falconidae.